AACGAACGCUGGCGGCAUGCCUAACACAUGCAAGUCGAACGAGACCUUCGGGUCUAGUGGCGCACGGGUGCGUAACGCGUGGGAACCUGCCCUUAGGUUCGGAAUAACUCCCCGAAAGGGGUGCUAAUACCGGAUAAUGUCUUCGGACCAAAGAUUUAUCGCCUUUGGUUGGGCCCGCGUUGGAUUAGCUAGUUGGUAGGGUAAAAGCCUACCAAGGCGACGAUCCAUAGCUGGUCUGAGAGGAUGAUCAGCCACACUGGGACUGAGACACGGCCCAGACUCCUACGGGAGGCAGCAGUGGGGAAUAGUGGACAAUGGGCGAAAGCCUGAUCCAGCAAUGCCGCGUGAGUGAUGAAGGCAUUAGGGUUGUAAAGCUCUUUUACCCGGGAUGAUAAUGACAGUACCGGGAGAAUAAGCUCCGGCUAACUCCGUG
This 433-nucleotide ribosomal RNA is filed under the name uncultured bacterium. RNAcentral's name for it is "partial 16S ribosomal RNA". It matches the Rfam family "Bacterial small subunit ribosomal RNA", at positions 29 to 507 of the family's 1533-position model. The record is from RNAcentral.